This 429-nucleotide ribosomal RNA is filed under the name uncultured bacterium. RNAcentral's name for it is "bacterial SSU rRNA". It matches the Rfam family "Bacterial small subunit ribosomal RNA", at positions 355 to 776 of the family's 1533-position model. The record is from RNAcentral.
UGGGGAAUAUUGGACAAUGGGGGCAACCCUGAUCCAGCCAUGCCGCGUGUGUGAAGAAGGCCUUCGGGUUGUAAAGCACUUUCAGUGAGGAAGAAGGCCUUGGGCUUAAUACGUCCGAGGAAGGACAUCACUCACAGAAGAAGCACCGGCUAACUCCGUGCCAGCAGCCGCGGUAAUACGGAGGGUGCGAGCGCUAAUCGGAAUUACUGGGCGUAAAGCGCGCGUAGGUGGCGUGAUAAGCCGGUUGUGAAAGCCCCGGGCUCAACCUGGGAACGGCAUCCGGAACUGUCAUGCUAGAGUGCAGGAGAGGAAGGUAGAAUUCCCGGUGUAGCGGUGAAAUGCGUAGAGAUCGGGAGGAAUACCAGUGGCGAAGGCGGCCUUCUGGACUGACACUGACACUGAGGUGCGAAAGCGUGGGUAGCAAACAGG